CAAUCCAGCCAUGCCGCGUGUGUGAAGAAGGUCUUCGGAUUAUAAAGCACUUUAAGUUGGGAGGAAGGGCAGUAAGUUAAUACCUUGCUGUUUUGACGUUACCAACAGAAUAAGCACCGGCUAACUUCGUGCCAGCAGCCGCGGUAAUACGAAGGGUGCAAGCGUUAAUCGGAAUUACUGGGCGUAAAGCGCGCGUAGGUGGUUCAGCAAGUUGGAUGUGAAAUCCCCGGGCUCAACCUGGGAACUGCAUCCAAAACUACUGAGCUAGAGUACUGUAGAGGGUGGUGGAAUUUCCUGUGUAGCGGUGAAAUGCGUAGAUAUAGGAAGGAACACCAGUGGCGAAGGCGACCACCUGGACUGAUACUGACACUGAGGUGCGAAAGCGUGGGGAGCAAACAGGAUUGGAUACCCUGGUAGUCCACGCCGUAAACGAUGUCGACUAGCCGUUGGGAUCCUUGAGAUCUUAGUGGCGCAGCUAACGCGAUAAGUCGACCGCCUGGGGAGUACGUCCGCAAGGUUAAAACUCAAAUGAAUUGACGGGGGCCCGCACAA
Molecule: ribosomal RNA, 552 nt
Filed under: Pseudomonas aeruginosa
Lineage: Bacteria; Pseudomonadati; Pseudomonadota; Gammaproteobacteria; Pseudomonadales; Pseudomonadaceae
Description: bacterial SSU rRNA
Rfam family: Bacterial small subunit ribosomal RNA
Source: RNAcentral